CACGAACCGUACGAACGUUAUUCGGAAUUACUGGGCUUAAAGGGUGCGUAGGCGGCCUGGAAGGUGAGGUGUGAAAUCCCUCGGCUCAACCGAGGAAUUGCGCUUCAAACCACUAGGCUUGAGGGAGAUAGAGGUGAGCGGAACUGAUGGUGGAGCGGUGAAAUGCGUUGAUAUCAUCAGGAACACCCGUGGCGAAAGCGGCUCACUGGGUCUUUUCUGACGCUGAGGCACGAAAGCUAGGGGAGCGAACGGG
RNAcentral lists this unclassified non-coding RNA (253 nucleotides) under uncultured Pirellulaceae bacterium. RNAcentral's name for it is "contains 16S-23S intergenic spacer region". It matches the Rfam family "Bacterial small subunit ribosomal RNA", at positions 524 to 776 of the family's 1533-position model. Lineage: Bacteria; Pseudomonadati; Planctomycetota; Planctomycetia; Pirellulales; Pirellulaceae. The record is from RNAcentral.